Molecule: non-coding RNA, 180 nt
Filed under: Desulfosporosinus orientis
Lineage: Bacteria; Bacillati; Bacillota; Clostridia; Eubacteriales; Desulfitobacteriaceae
Also listed under: 1 other name
Source: RNAcentral
UAAUAGCGAUAUACUUAAGGUUCCCUCUGUUAGAGGGUAAUAGGGGAAGCCGGUGAAAAUCCGGCGCGGUCCCGCCACUGUGAACAAGGAGUUCUCUGCCCAAUCCCUUGCUUGAAUUUUGGGAAAGGCAAGAGAAUGAUGAUCUGAAGCCAGGAAACCUGUCUUAAGUAAGAUCACAAA